RNAcentral lists this ribosomal RNA (468 nucleotides) under uncultured bacterium. Its description in RNAcentral is "partial 16S ribosomal RNA". It matches the Rfam family "Bacterial small subunit ribosomal RNA", at positions 28 to 507 of the family's 1533-position model. The record is from RNAcentral.
GACGAACGCUGGCGGCGUGCUUAACACAUGCAAGUCGAACGGAAAGGCCCUGCUUUUGUGGGGUGCUCGAGUGGCGAACGGGUAAGUAACACGUGAGUAACCUGCCCUUGACUUUGGGAUAACUUCAGGAAACUGGGGCUACUACCGGAUAGCAGCUCCCCCUGCAUGGUGGGCGUUGGAACGUUUCGGCGGUUGGGGAUGGACUCGCGGCUUAUCAGCUUGUUGGUGGGGUAGUGGCUUACCAAGGCUUUGACGGGUAGCCGGCCUGAGAGGGUGGACGGCCACAUUGGGACUGAGAUACGGCCCAGUCUCCAACAGGAGGCAGUAGUGGCGAGUAUUGCACAAUGGGCCGAAGCCUGAUGCGGCAACGCCGCGUGCGGGAUGACGGCCUGCGGGUUGUAAACCGCUUUCGCCUGUGACGAAGCGUGAGUGACGGUAAUGGGUGAAGAAGCACCGGCUAACUACGUG